UUGAUUCAUUUUUUAUAAGACUCAGACGCUACUGUUCAGACAGAGUUUGAGGUCCUCUGGCGGGCUGGCCGAGGCCAGUGGCGCCGUGUCUCGCACGGACCUGCCCGCCAAAGCAACAGAAGUGAUAAACAAAGGGUGGGAGUUGGGACCCAGAGGCCCCGGAACUCGGUAAUGAUCCUUCCGCAGGUUCACCUACGGAAA
RNAcentral lists this unclassified non-coding RNA (201 nucleotides) under uncultured fungus. RNAcentral's name for it is "sequence contains ITS1". Lineage: Eukaryota; Fungi. The record is from RNAcentral.